AACGAGACCUUAACCUGCUAAAUAGCCAGCUUGACUUUGGUUGGGCGCCGGCUUCUUAGAGGGACUUUUGGCUCAAGCCAAUGGAAGUACGAGGCAAUAACAGGUUAACUUCACAGGCCUGUUUUCAUAUUUGGUCAGAUCUGCAUGAUUUGGCUUUGCCGCUGGUACAGAGAAUGUUGCUUUAGUAACUGAUUCUGUGG
This 200-nucleotide ribosomal RNA is filed under the name Verrucariales sp. RNAcentral describes it as "partial small subunit ribosomal RNA". Lineage: Eukaryota; Fungi; Ascomycota; Eurotiomycetes; Verrucariales. The record is from RNAcentral.